Molecule: non-coding RNA, 97 nt
Organism: Rhodocollybia butyracea
Lineage: Eukaryota; Fungi; Basidiomycota; Agaricomycetes; Agaricales; Omphalotaceae
Source: the annotation of a GenBank genome assembly
GGCCGACUAGCUCAGCUGGUUAGAGCGUCGUGCUAAUAUUGCACUACUCCUAGUGUGGUUAACGCGAAGGUCUUGGGUUCGAUCCCCACGUUGGCCA